CACGUAGGCACCAAGCGUUGUCCGGAUUUAUUGGGCGUAAAGAGCUCGUAGGCGGUUCGGUAAGUCGGGUGUGAAAACUCUGGGCUCAACCCAGAGCCGCCACCCGAUACUGCUGUGACUCGAGUGCGGUAGGGGAGCGGGGAAUUCCUGGUGUAGCGGUGAAAUGCGCAGAUAUCAGGAGGAACACCGGUGGCGAAGGCGGCAUCCUGGACCGACACUGACGCUGAGGAGCGAAAGCCAGGGGAGCAAACGGG
Molecule: ribosomal RNA, 254 nt
Filed under: uncultured bacterium
Lineage: Bacteria
Description: partial 16S ribosomal RNA
Rfam family: Bacterial small subunit ribosomal RNA
Source: RNAcentral